This 1340-nucleotide long non-coding RNA is filed under the name Homo sapiens (human). RNAcentral describes it as "HSALNT0377371". Lineage: Eukaryota; Metazoa; Chordata; Mammalia; Primates; Hominidae. The record is from RNAcentral.
UACAAAAAAUGCAAAAAUGAGCCAGGCUGGUGGCACACUCCUGUAGUCCCAGUUACUUGGGAAGCUGAGGUUGGUAGAUUGCUUGCACCCGGAAUGUUGACGCUGCAGCGAACCGUGUUCACACCACUGCACUCCAGUCUGGGUGAUAAAGUGAGCCUCUGUCUCAAAAUGAAAAAGUCAGUGAUAUGGAUUGUUGUAUAAAAUGAAGAUUAAUUUAAAUUUACUAGAUUUAUCUCCCACCAUAAUUGAAAAUAACCUGUACAAAAUGUAUAUAUAUAUAAAAGCUGGCGGUGGGGGGGGGACCUUUUUUCCAAACUGUGAUCAGCAUUAGCCACCUGAAUUAACUUCUCAAGGAAGAUCGCACCAGCUUUAUUUUUUUUUUUACAUAAUUUUUUAUUGUGGUAAAGAAUGCAUAACAAAAUUUACCAUUUUAACCAUGUUUAAAUGUACAAUUAAGUGCCAUUCAUUACAUUCACAAUGUGUGUAACCAUCACCACUAUCUAUAAAGAGAGCUUUUUCAUCCUAAACAGAAACUGUACCCAUGAAGCAACUCCCUGUUCUCCCCUAUCCUCAGAACUUGGUAACCUCUAUUCUGCUUUCUGUCCCAAGGAAUUUCCCUAGUCUGCAUAUCCCCUGCAAAUGGAAUAAUACAGCAAGUCCUCUUAACAUCAUCGACGGGUUCUUGGAAACUGCGACUUUAAGCAAAACAACAUAUAAAGAAACCAGUUAUACCACAGGCUAAUUGACAUAAAUAACAGAUCAACACUGAUGUCAUUCAAGCAACAGCUAGAAGACCAACUCUGUCUCCGACUUAUUGAGUUGAAAUGCAUUUAUUUUUCCACUGUUAUGAAAAAAUGCAGAUUUUCCCCGAAGAAGCAUUUUUUUAAUUCAUCGCUUUUUCUUAAAGCCACGUGACAGAAAGCCAGGGCCCAGAUCCUAAGGAGAGGGACCAUCAUGGCACUGUCCAGAUCAGCUUCUUCCACAUGGGAGGGAAAAUGGCUGCUGACGGCUCCCAAGCCUCAAUCCCUUCACCCUUGCCACUGGCAAACUGCGGUUUAGGUUGCUGCCUUGGCAGUCCUGGCUGUCCUCACGGAAGAGCAUGUGAACCACGGACCUGGCUGUCUUUUUCAUUGGGUUGGCUCUGCGGUGCAGGCUGGCAGAUGAGCAUGUGAUGAGCCCGCCCUUGCUGGCCGUGCAAUUCGGCUCCUGUCAUGCUCUUGGCCAUUGAAUCGGCCUAAUGCAGCCCCUCAGCAGCCAGCCUGGUGUUCCCUGGGGCUGAGGAUCUAAUGUCAGCAGGGCAUGAUUCGAUUCACAUUAAAGAUGGAUAUUAAGUCUUUUUA